UACUGUUUGUGAUGAUUUUGUUAAACAAUGGGAAUCUCUCUGAAAGAGAGUGAGGAGAACUUUUAUACUGAAACAGUA
This 78-nucleotide small nucleolar RNA is filed under the name Sphenodon punctatus (tuatara). Its description in RNAcentral is "Small nucleolar RNA SNORD79 (ENSSPUG00000018556.1)". It matches the Rfam family "Small nucleolar RNA SNORD79". From Rfam's summary of the family: snoRNA U79 or Z22 is found in intron 7 of the gas5 gene in humans and is also present in mice. Lineage: Eukaryota; Metazoa; Chordata; Lepidosauria; Sphenodontia; Sphenodontidae. The record is from Rfam by way of RNAcentral.